RNAcentral lists this long non-coding RNA (393 nucleotides) under Vigna radiata. Its description in RNAcentral is "long non-coding RNA (VRAD_LNC014714)". The record is from RNAcentral. Lineage: Eukaryota; Viridiplantae; Streptophyta; Magnoliopsida; Fabales; Fabaceae.
UCAACUCAAUGUACUCAAGAAAGCAAGCAACAAACAGUCCUGGCAAGCCUCUAAUAUCCACACUCAAAAACAUAUGCAUGUUCAAAUCAAAAGGUCUUUUAUGGAUGUAAUGGGGUCAAGGACAAGGGAGGAUAACAUAUGGAUGAGAAGCUACAAACCAAAGGAAAUAGAGGAGCAAUGGGGAACAAGUGUAAACACAAUAUACUCACACCCAAAACCUCUAAUUCCAUCCUCUUCUUGACUCCUUUAUUCACAAUUUUUUUUUUCAUUUUUCUGUAUUUUUUUUUCUUUUUUUUUCAUCUUGUCUAUUUUCUUUUCUCUCUUCUCAGAACACAAUUAUUCCCAAAAGAGACAAGAUAACACAACAUAUAUACAAAAACAAACAAGAAGAGG